RNAcentral lists this ribosomal RNA (1880 nucleotides) under human gut metagenome. Its description in RNAcentral is "bacterial LSU rRNA". It matches the Rfam family "Bacterial large subunit ribosomal RNA", at positions 3 to 1980 of the family's 2925-position model. The record is from RNAcentral.
UCAAGCUAAAAAGGGCGCAAGGUGAAUGCCUUGGCACUGGGAGCCGAUGAAAGACGUGGUAAGCUGCGAAAAGCUUCGGGGAGGAGCAAACAUCCAUUGAUCCGGAGAUAUCUGAAUGGGGCAACCCAAUGGAGUUCAUACUCCAUUAUCCAAUACUGAAUCCAUAGGUAUUGGAAGGGAACCGCCUGAACUGAAACAUCUAAGUAGGGCGAGGAAGAGACAUCAAACGAGAUUCCGUAAGUAGUGGCGAGCGAACGCGGAAGAGGGCAAACCGAAGGUAGAAAUACCUUCGGGGUACGGACUGCUUUUAGGACUCAAUCUGUUAACCGAACGGCAUGGGAAGGCCGGUCAGAGAGUGUGAGAACCACGUAGGUGAAAACGGAAAGAGCUGCGCAGAUUCCAGAGUACGGCCAGACACGUGAAACCUGGUCGGAAGAUGGGGGGACCACCCUCCAACCCUAAAUACUACCCAGUGACCGAUAGCGUAUAGUACUGUGAAGGAAAGGUGAAAAGCACCCCGGGAGGGGAGUGAAAAAGAACCUGAAACCCUGUGCCUACAAGCACCUAGAGCGCGUCAAUGCGUGAUAGGGUACUUUUUGUAGAACGGUCCGGCGAGCGAUUGUAUGCAGCAAGGUUAAGGACUUAAGGUCUGGAGCCGAAGCGAAAGCGAGUUUGAAAAGGGCGUUAAGUUGCAUAUAAUGGGCCCGAAACCGGGUGACCUACCCAUGGUCAGGUUGAAGUGGAAGUAAAAUUCCAUGGAGGACCGAACCGACCUCCGUUGAAAAGGCGGCGGAUGAACUGUGGGUAGCGGAGAAAUUCCAAUCGAACCCGGAGAUAGCUGGUUCUCCCCGAAAUAGUUUUAGGACUAGCCUCAAGUUAGAUACCUGGAGGUAAAGCACUGAAUAGCCUAGCGGCCGAGAGGUUAGCGAAGCUUAUCAAACUCAGAAUGCCAGAGUAUUGAUGCUUGGGAGUCAGACAGUGUCAGAUAAAUGUCAUUGUCAAAAGGGAAACAGCCCAGAUCUACAGCUAAGGUCCCAAAGUCAGGUUAAGUGGAAAACGAUGUGAAGAUACGCAGACAACCAGGAUGUUGGCUCAGAAGCAGCCACUCAUUCAAAGAGUGCGUAAUAGCUCACUGGUCGAGCGUCUUUGCGCGGAGAAUUUAACGGGGCUAAACCUGACACCGAAGCUUAGGCAAUCCAGUAAUGGAUUGGGUAGGGGAGCGUUGUAUACGCGGAGAAACAGUAGCGUAAGCGGCUGUGGAGUGUAUAGAAGUGAGAAUGCCGGAAUGAGUAGCGCGAAUGCAGUGAGAAUCUGCAUGGCCGAAAGCCUCAGGUUUUUGGAGGAAGGUUCGUCCGCUCCAAGUUAGUCGGGAGCUAAGGUGAGGCCGGAAGGCGUAGCCGAUGCACAGACGGUAGAGAUUCCGUCACCACCAAAAGAGUUAAGCACAGGGACACAUUUGAAGUCUCAGAGCCGGGUGUUGGUUCCGGUAGAGAUCGAGGGAAAUUAGUACCGAAGUCUGAGAUGGAAGAUGGCGAGAAAAGCUGUGUGUAUUUCUGAGGUGCCCGUACCGCAAACCGACACAGGUAGGUAGGAAGAAGAUUCUAAGGCCAACGGGAGAAGGGUUGUUAAGGAACUCGGCAAAUUGACCCCGUAACUUCGGGAGAAGGGGUGCUCCAGAGAUGGAGCCGCAGAGAAUCGGCCCAAGCAACUGUUUACCAAAAACACAGGUUUGUGCUAAAUCGAAAGAUGACGUAUACGAGCUGACGCCUGCCCGGUGCUGGAAGGUUAAGAGGAGAUGUGCAAGCAUUGAAUCGAAGCCCCAGUGAACGGCGGCCGUAACUAUAACGGUCCUAAGGUAGCGAAAUUCCUUGUCAGGUAAG